AUAAAAAUUUGUUUCUAUCAGCAUUGCUUUGCAUUGCUGUUGCAGGAGUUUUGGGUCAAGCUCCUAGUAAUCCUCCUACGUCUACGCCGGCGCCACCCACACCACCGGCUUCUACUCCUCCUCCGACGACUCAAGCACCGCCUACACCAACCGCCACUCCGCCACCGGUUUCUACUCCUCCUCCCACUUCAUCACCGCCCCCAGUGACAGCUUCUCCACCCCCAGUUUCAACUCCUCCACCCAGUUCUCCUCCUCCUGCAACUCCACCACCUGCUUCUCCUCCUCCUGCAACUCCACCUCCAGCUUCUCCACCUCCUGCCACUCCUCCACCAGCUUCUCCACCUCCCGCCACUCCACCACCUGCAACCCCACCGCCAGCAACUCCUCCUCCUGCUACCCCACCACCAGCUCCAUUGGCUUCUCCUCCAGCCACAGUCCCAGCUAUCUCUCCAGUACAAACACCAUUGACAUCGCCACCAGCUCCGCCGACCGAGGCCCCAGCACCUACCCUCGGGG
This 516-nucleotide long non-coding RNA is filed under the name Gossypium barbadense (sea-island cotton). RNAcentral's name for it is "long non-coding RNA (GBAR_LNC014573)". The record is from RNAcentral. Lineage: Eukaryota; Viridiplantae; Streptophyta; Magnoliopsida; Malvales; Malvaceae.